UCCCUGACCACGGGCUGCGGAAGAGUGGGACGUUAUGGAACCUUCUCAGCUUAUUCAGAGAGGCUUCUUCUUCCUAUUUAGUCUCCCUCUGGCUUUCCCUGCUGGGAUCUGGGUGGUAGAAGCAGCAGGGGGAUCAACGAACAGGCUGAGCGCCAAGAAGCCUGAAGAUUCCAGAAUCUAGCGGGAAAAGCAUUCAGAGUCAGAAUGAGUGGCAGCUGAGGCUUACUACCCCAGGAAAGGGAUGCCACCAGAGAAGGCAGACAACCAAGAUGGCGACUCUCAAUUUUUGAGCUCCUAAUUUUCUCAUGUCAGACAUAAGAAAAAAAAAUAUUUUUUAAAGAAAAAGCUUUAGGUUGCAAAAAUCUAGGCCUUUCAACUUUAAAAUCCUAUUCUUGCAAGCCUUGGAGAAUAAAGCUUAUGCAUAAACAGUAGAUUUGGAAACAGAAAUAUGCCUAAUUACCCAGAGCCAUUCUUUCAAUACGCCAGUGAUUGUUUAAAGAUUCUAUAGGCUGGAGUCAAUGGCAGGAGGCGGGUGGGAAAAGAGUCAAGAGGGAGGAGAGAAGAAGCAAGAGGGUUGGGUAGAUAUUGUCACAUGACCCUGAGAGGAGGAUUCUGGGUCAAACCCCUAGGGGGUUGUGUGUAAUGGAGACUCCAGAUCCAUUUGGGAAUCUGGCUCCAAAGAAGACUUCACCUUGCCUUCUGAGUGGAGCCCUGAAGUGGCAAGACUCAUAGAAUUCCCCCACGGGUCCACACAAGAGAGAAUGAAUAGAGAAGGCUGCGUGCUGGCUGGACCAAGGCAGCCUCGGGUGACACCACCACCACCACCGCCGCUGCCGCCAUCGCCAUCACCACUGCCGCUGCCAUCACCGCCACCACCACCACCAUCACCACCACCAUCACCACAUUAUGGACAAUAGCCCAAUGUUUCCUGAGUUCCCUAGAGGGUUGAAAGAGAAUAGGACCUAGAGAGAUCACAUAGUUGGGACAGGCACUCAUUAAUUUGAUCCAAUGACAAGAGACCAGAUGGGAAGAAGGAUGCCUUGAGAGAUGUCAGUGUGCACCCAUGGAUAGAAGCAGCUGGUGACUGGGUACUUGGGAAGCCACAUGGACACACACAAAGCUCCUGGAAGACGUUUUCAAGGAGUUGGGCUGUGCUGGGAUCCAGAACUGGCUGAAGAAACCAUGAGCUGACAUAAAAUUUCUGCCACCUAGCAGAAUGGAGGCUCCAUUUGGAAAUUAAAUUAUAUACUUAAAAAAA
Long non-coding RNA from Homo sapiens (human), 1258 nucleotides. Ensembl annotates it as long intergenic non-protein coding RNA 570. The record is from Ensembl. NCBI's taxonomy places the organism in Eukaryota, Metazoa, Chordata, Mammalia, Primates, Hominidae.